AUAAAUCUGGGGAUAUUACAAAAUCCCGCGAUAGGACAGAUUAUCUCGCGAGAUAGUGGUGACGUCACGCGUUCUUCCGGAAGUUCACAUUCAAACACGAGGAGCGAUUACGAGGGAGUUUUGUCUAUAUAUCAUUCAAAAUCUACUGUUGGGAAAAGCAGAACCUCAUCCAAAUAAAAAUAAACAAGCUGUUAAAGGCACUGUGUCCUACACAGACCCUCCAAAAUAUAACCACCCAAAACCCAAGUCAGUUGAAGGUCAACACAAACCAAAUAAAGAUGUGCAUUCUACAAACAUUAAAAAAAGAUCAAGUUUUGUGUCCACCACACUUAGAUGAGGCGUGCCCGACCCCUGACUUUGUCUACCCUACAUUAAGUUGCACACUUCAUGACAGUAAACAUCGGUAUCACAAUGGUGUGAUUGAUCUAUACCCUAGAAUAAGCUGUGACACUAUGAGACGUGAGGUAACACAACGAAAAAAUUACCGGAUGGAGACUACCUGAUUCUUCACCUAUGGCCUCAGCUUCAAAUGCAACAUGUCCAGCAACUGUCUGAGUUGGUGGAUAUUCUGUCAGAGACUGCGUGAACAACGUUAUGAACAGAAUGAUGUCAAAUUGUCUUAUGGCAAAGUUCAAUAUGAGGGGUGGUGGACAUCUGGAAAAGAAGUCUUUUAAAGGCACACCUUUGUAUUAUGUUAUUCAAGAUGCUGUGAAGAGGUGGAGCCCAAAUGCCACAGACUCGGAAAUAGAUGCAGCUAUGGCAGACCACCUCAAACACGCUCCAGGAAGAGCUGGGGGUGGUGGAUACAAAAAAGCCAAACAGCUGUGAUGUGUUAAAGAGAGAGUUCACCAAAAAAGGAAAAUUGUUAUAAUUUUCUUAUCCACAUCUUUCAAACCUGUAUACCUUUAUAUUUUCUGCUGAACACAAAGAUUGAAGAAUGUUUGUAACUUCACAACCAAUUAACUGUCAAUAUUUUUUUUACAAUUGUAGUAAUGGGUUGUGGGAUCUGCUUUGUUAAAAACAUUCUUUCACAUAUCUUUGUGUUCAGCAGAACAUAGAAGGGUAUACAGGUUUGAAACAUGAGAGGGAAUAAAUGACUAAAUAUUAAUUUUUGGGUGAACUAUCCCUUUAUAGAAAGUGUUUUGAAGUUGUUAUUAUAGUUAAAUGGUUAAAAAAAUAAAAAGUGCUAAAUCAGAA
This is a non-coding RNA of Misgurnus anguillicaudatus (oriental weatherfish), 1197 nucleotides long. The record is from RefSeq and is a predicted model, not a curated record. NCBI's taxonomy places the organism in Eukaryota, Metazoa, Chordata, Actinopteri, Cypriniformes, Cobitidae.